GGCCCCCCGCCCCGGCCGGGCCUCCGCGCCCCGAGCUCGGGGCGGCCCCCGCGCGCUCCGCCUCGGGAGUGGGGGCGCCGGGUCCCGCGGGAGCCCCCAGGGAGUUCCGGCGCCCCGGAGUUCGGGGGGACUCCCGCUCCUCGUGCAGCCUCCACCACCCCCCUCCCAGGGCGCCCCGCUGGACGCCCUGCGUGCCCCGAGCGCCGCUGGCCCCCGGAGUUGGGGGACCCCCUCUGGCACCCUCAGAAGCUGCGCAGGCCUGAGUUCCUUCCCCGGACUUGGGGGUCCCCCAUCCUGGGGCCUCUCCGGGGACCCCCACCAGCAUCGGAGUUCGUGGAGAUCCCUGGGGAACCUUGUCGCUGAACUGUGCCAGGAACUCCUGGAGCCUCCAUCUCAGCCACAGACUGGAAAUCACCACGAGAUCUCUCUUGUCAGACUGGGAAACUGAGGCACAAGUGAGCAAGGUCUCCUGCUUGCCUCAAUCCCACCUCCAGAGCCCCAGAAGCCCUCUCCCCGACCGGGUGCGGAGUCUCAGGGGCCGCAGGGGGCCCAUCUGAUAAUCCAGCCACCCCUUCAGGUGCCCGCUGUGCCAAUUUGUACGCCCAGCAUGGGGGCCACACCGCUGCUCCCUCCCCUGGACUGUGGCGGCUGGCACAGUGGGCACAGAGGCGUGGCAUGGCCCAGCAGCCGGGGCCCUCCCUGCCGUGGACCCUCGCUGGGGCUCAGCUUCUAAGCCUGUACAGGGAGGGAGAAAGGGCAGCCUGGGGGCCUGCUCCCCAACCCUCCCCUGCCUGGUCAGCUCCUCUCGGAGGCCCCCUUGUCCCACCUCACACGACAGGGACCCAGGGGACCACCACAGGAGAUCUGAGGGCUCCUGACGCUAGCCUGAGGCAGUGAUGGUGGGGGAGGGGGAGCUGACCUCCAUCCUGCCAGAUGAGGCUGGGUCUGGGAGGGGGUGGCUCCCCAAGGAAGGGGCACAGGCUGUGUGACGGGUGGGCCCUCCAGGGCAAAGGCUGGGAAGCAGGGCUGGCGGGCAGACGUAUCAGGGGUGGGGGAACCUGGUGGGGUGACCAAGAGGUUGGAGGGGGCACUUGCCAAAUUCUGGAGGCUCUGGAGGGAGGAUCCUGGACUUGCUAGGGUUACAUGGGAUUGAAGGAGUUGAGGCUGGGGGUCCAAACCAGAGCGCCUCUGAGGUGGGCUGGGAUGUCCUUCUUGGGACACUGAGGCUAGGAGAGGGGUCAGAACUAGCCCCAGAGGGGCCUAGAGCAUCCAGCCUGUGUUCCCGCACCACCCUGUAUCUUCUUGGCAGGCAGAUCUGCAGAAGGAAAGCUAAGGGGGCUGCAUGAGGGGGGCAGCACGGGGAGCUGCCUGGAGGAGGGGGCAUGAAGUCAAGCCAUAACGUUUUUCUGGAGAGGGACUUCACGGUGGGGGAAACGGCUUGUGCCAGCCCUGCUUGCCACAGAAGAGCCUCGGUGUCCGGCCUGCGGAAGGGAGAGGGGGUCCCAGUCGCGCGGCACCUGCUCGGUGGCCUGUGGUUACCCAGAAUGCCU
Molecule: long non-coding RNA, 1550 nt
Organism: Ailuropoda melanoleuca (giant panda)
Lineage: Eukaryota; Metazoa; Chordata; Mammalia; Carnivora; Ursidae
Source: Ensembl